UACGUAGGGUGCAAGCGUUGUCCGGAAUCAUUGGGCGUAAAGCGCGCGUAGGUGGCUCUGUAAGUCCGUUGUGAAAGUCAAAGGCUCAACCUUUGAAUGCCGACUGGAUACUGCAGAGCUAGAGUACGGAAGAGGCGAGUGGAAUCCUGGUGUAGCGGUGGAAUGCGCAGAUAUCAGGAGGAACACCAAUAGCGAAGGCAGCUCGCUGGGACGUUACUGACACUAAGGCGCGAAAGCGUGGGGAGCGAACAGG
This 253-nucleotide ribosomal RNA is filed under the name uncultured bacterium. RNAcentral describes it as "partial 16S ribosomal RNA". It matches the Rfam family "Bacterial small subunit ribosomal RNA", at positions 524 to 776 of the family's 1533-position model. The record is from RNAcentral.